CCUAAGGCGAGGCCGAAAGGCGUAGUCGAUGGGAAACGGGUUAAUAUUCCCGUACUUGGUGUUACUGCGAAGGGGGGACGGAGAAGGCUAUGUUGGCCGGGCGACGGUUGUCCCGGUUUAAGCGUGUAGGUGUGUGUUCCAGGUAAAUCCGGUUCACUUUAACACUGAGGCGUGACGACGAGGCACUACGGUGCUGAAGCAACAAAUGCCCUGCUUCCAGGAAAAGCCUCUAAGCAUCAGGUAACAUCAAAUCGUACCCCAAACCGACACAGGUGGUCAGGUAGAGAAUACCAA
This 294-nucleotide ribosomal RNA is filed under the name Salmonella enterica subsp. enterica serovar Kentucky. RNAcentral's name for it is "partial 23S ribosomal RNA". It matches the Rfam family "Bacterial large subunit ribosomal RNA", at positions 1390 to 1684 of the family's 2925-position model. The record is from RNAcentral. Lineage: Bacteria; Pseudomonadati; Pseudomonadota; Gammaproteobacteria; Enterobacterales; Enterobacteriaceae.